Molecule: long non-coding RNA, 561 nt
Organism: Folsomia candida
Lineage: Eukaryota; Metazoa; Arthropoda; Collembola; Entomobryomorpha; Isotomidae
Exons: 3
Source: RefSeq, a predicted model, not a curated record
AUGAGGACAGAUAGUCGUCUUCCCACGGAUUGUGUAGCGUGAGACAUAUGAUUAAAAGGAAAACUAGGUUAACAAUUAGCUUCAAGCUAAAAUCGUACUUUUCUCUGCACAUUUCAGAACUGCGCGUCAGAAGGAGGCAUCUGAAUGCAAGUAGCUACUUCGAGAUUGUUAUGCGUAUAUUCUUCCUUCCUAACUGUCCUUUAAACGGGACGAAUGACGAAUCGACAAAUAUCAGCUUUCCAGCCUGUGUUUCUGUGAUAACCCGCAACUUGAGCCGGAAUGGGAGGGAUCGCGUGACACAAAUUCAACCUUACUUUCACUUCAAUUGGGAUUGAAUUGGUCAAUUAGGAGCGGUUUAGCAUGCUCGCCCAUCUACUAUCUAUCCAUUCCAGCCUUCCCCUGGGGAGAAUUCGACAUUGGUCAAAGGUCCCUCGUUUUAUUGACCAACACCGAGUUGUUUGAUGUCUCAGCUUAUUAUAGAUCAAAUAAUUUUCUCAUUUUAUGUAAGACUAAUAUUAAUGGCGAUUCGUUCCAAAUUAAUAAAAGAAAUAAAAAUCUCAA